This 254-nucleotide ribosomal RNA is filed under the name uncultured bacterium. RNAcentral describes it as "partial 16S ribosomal RNA". It matches the Rfam family "Bacterial small subunit ribosomal RNA", at positions 524 to 776 of the family's 1533-position model. The record is from RNAcentral.
UACAGAGGGUGCGAGCGUUGUCCGGAAUUACUGGGCGUAAAGGGUGCGUAGGCGGUUUAUUAAGUUACUUGUGAAAUUCCUGGGCUUAACCUGGGGUGGUCGAGUGAUACUGAUAGACUAGAGUAUGGGAGAGGGCAUUGGAAUUUCCGGUGUAGCGGUGAAAUGCGUAGAUAUCGGAAGGAACACCGGUGGCGAAGGCGGAAUGCCUGGCCCAAUACUGACGCUGAGGCACGAAAGCGUGGGUAGCGAACAGG